This 586-nucleotide ribosomal RNA is filed under the name Rhizopus arrhizus. Its description in RNAcentral is "eukaryotic LSU rRNA". The stretch from base 191 to 344 matches the Rfam family "5.8S ribosomal RNA". The record is from RNAcentral. Lineage: Eukaryota; Fungi; Mucoromycota; Mucoromycetes; Mucorales; Rhizopodaceae.
ACUCGUUAGCGCCUUACCUUAGGGUUUCCUCUGGGGUAAGUGAUUGCUUCUACACUGUGAAAAUUUGGCUGAGAGACUCAGACUGGUCAUGGGUAGACCUAUCUGGGGUUUGAUCGAUGCCACUCCUGGUUUCAGGAGUACCCUUCAUAAUAAACCUAGAAAUUCAGUAUUAUAAAGUUUAAUAAAAAACAACUUUUAACAAUGGAUCUCUUGGUUCUCGCAUCGAUGAAGAACGUAGCAAAGUGCGAUAACUAGUGUGAAUUGCAUAUUCAGUGAAUCAUCGAGUCUUUGAACGCAGCUUGCACUCUAUGGUUUUUCUAUAGAGUACGCCUGCUUCAGUAUCAUCACAAACCCACACAUAACAUUUGUUUAUGUGGUGAUGGGUCGCAUCGCUGUUUUAUUACAGUGAGCACCUAAAAUGUGUGUGAUUUUCUGUCUGGCUUGCUAGGCAGGAAUAUUACGCUGGUCUCAGGAUCUUUUUUUUUGGUUCGCCCAGGAAGUAAAGUACAAGAGUAUAAUCCAGUAACUUUCAAACUAUGAUCUGAAGUCAGGUGGGAUUACCCGCUGAACUUAAGCAUAUCAAUAA